GAUGAACGCUGGCGGCGUGCUUAACACAUGCAAGUCGAACGGAAAGGCUCCUGCUUGCAGGGGUACUCGAGUGGCGAACGGGUGAGUAACACGUGGGGGAUCUGCCCUGCACUUCGGGAUAAGCCUGGGAAACUGGGUCUAAUACCGGAUAGGACCACAUUUUGGAUGGUGUGGUGGAAAGUUUUUCGGUGUGGGAUGAGCUCGCGGCCUAUCAGCUUGUUGGUGGGGUAAUGGCCUACCAAGGCGUCGACGGGUAGCCGGCCUGAGAGGGUGUACGGCCACAUUGGGACUGAGAUACGGCCCAGACGCCUACGGGAGGGAGCAGUGGGGAAUAUUGCACAAUGGGCGCAAGCCUGAUGCAGCGACGCCGCGUGGGGGAUGACGGCCUUCGGGUUGUAAACUCCUUUCGCUAGGGACGAAGCGCAAGUGACGGUACCUGGAGAAGAAGCACCGGCUAACUACGUG
This 465-nucleotide ribosomal RNA is filed under the name uncultured bacterium. RNAcentral's name for it is "partial 16S ribosomal RNA". It matches the Rfam family "Bacterial small subunit ribosomal RNA", at positions 28 to 507 of the family's 1533-position model. The record is from RNAcentral.